RNAcentral lists this transfer RNA (72 nucleotides) under Loxodonta africana (African savanna elephant). It matches the Rfam family "tRNA". Rfam says of the family: Transfer RNA (tRNA) molecules are approximately 80 nucleotides in length. Their secondary structure includes four short double-helical elements and three loops (D, anti-codon, and T loops). The record is from Rfam by way of RNAcentral. Lineage: Eukaryota; Metazoa; Chordata; Mammalia; Proboscidea; Elephantidae.
GCUCUGGUAGCGCAGUGGUUAAGCACUUGGCUGCUAACUAAAAGGUUGGCGGUUCGAACCCACCCAACGGCU